RNAcentral lists this ribosomal RNA (487 nucleotides) under uncultured bacterium. RNAcentral describes it as "bacterial SSU rRNA". It matches the Rfam family "Bacterial small subunit ribosomal RNA", at positions 28 to 514 of the family's 1533-position model. The record is from RNAcentral.
GACGAACGCUGGCGGCGUGCUUAAUACAUGCAAGUCAACUUGACUUUAGAUAGCAAUAUCGAAAAGUAGGGUGGCGCACGGGUGCGUAACGCGUAGGUAAUCUGCCCUGAGGUCUGACAUAACCCGUCGAAAGGCGGGCUAACAUCAGAUGAUAUAUAAUCACGACAUCGUGGAAAUAUCAAAUCUUCGGAGCCUUGGGAUGAGCCUGCGUCUGAUUAGGUAGUUGGCGGAGUAAUAGCCCACCAAGCCUACGAUCAGUAGCUGGUCUGAGAGGAUGAUCAGCCACACUGGAACUGAGACACGGUCCAGACUCCUACGGGAGGCAGCAGUAAGGAAUAUUGCUCAAUGGGGGAAACCCUGAAGCAGCAACGCCGCGUGAAGGAUGAAAUACUUUUGUAUGUAAACUUCUGUAAGAUGGGAAAAAUAUUCUCCUCGGGAGAAUUGAUUGUACCAUCAGAGUAAGCCCCGGCUAACUACGUGCCAGCAG